RNAcentral lists this ribosomal RNA (427 nucleotides) under uncultured prokaryote. Its description in RNAcentral is "bacterial SSU rRNA". It matches the Rfam family "Bacterial small subunit ribosomal RNA", at positions 355 to 774 of the family's 1533-position model. The record is from RNAcentral.
UGGGGAAUAUUGGACAAUGGGCGAAAGCCUGAUCCAGCCAUGCCGCGUGAGUGAAGAAGGCCUUCGGGUUGUAAAGCUCUUUCAGCCGGAAAGAAAUCGCGCAGGCUAAUACUCUGCGUGGAUGACGGUACCGGAAGAAGAAGCACCGGCUAACUACGUGCCAGCAGCCGCGGUAAUACGUAGGGUGCGAGCGUUAAUCGGAAUUACUGGGCGUAAAGCGUGCGCAGGCGGUUAUAUAAGACAGAUGUGAAAUCCCCGGGCUCAACCUGGGAACUGCGUUUGUGACUGUAUGACUAGAGUACGGCAGAGGGAGGUGGAAUUCCGCGUGUAGCAGUGAAAUGCGUAGAUAUGCGGAGGAACACCGAUGGCGAAGGCAGCCUCCUGGGCCAGUACUGACGCUCAUGCACGAAAGCGUGGGGAGCAAACA